Molecule: ribosomal RNA, 292 nt
Filed under: uncultured bacterium
Lineage: Bacteria
Description: partial 16S ribosomal RNA
Rfam family: Bacterial small subunit ribosomal RNA
Source: RNAcentral
GUGUCAGCCGCCGCGGUAAGACGAGGGGUCCAAGCGUUGUUCGGAAUCAUUGGGCGUAAAGCGGGUGUAGGUGGCUUCGUAAGUCAGGAGUGAAAUCCCCGAGCUUAACUCGGGAAGUGCUUUUGAAACUGCGGAGCUUGAAUGUGGGAGAGGAUCGUGGAAUUCCAGGUGUAGUGGUGAAAUACGUAGAUAUCUGGAGGAACACCGGUGGCGAAGGCGGCGAUCUGGCCCAACAUUGACACUGAGACCCGAAAGCGUGGGGAGCAAACAGGAUUAGAUACCCUAGUAGUCC